GAAGCUGACUAGACAGUCGCUGCCUGCAUUUGUAGGGAGAGGAAAGUCCGGGCUCCAAAGAGGGGGAUGUCGGCUAACGGCCGACCACUGUGAAGUGAGGAAUAGGGCCACAGAGACGAGCGUAUUUAGUUACGGUGAAACGCGGUAACCUCCAUCCGGAGCAAGACCAAAUAGGCAGGUGUUGACGUUGCUCGCCGAAUCUGCGGGUAGGUUGCUUGAGCUUAUGGGUAACCAUAUGCCUAGAGGAAUGACUGUCCAUGACAGAACCCGGCUUAUCGGUCAGCUUCUCCU
RNAcentral lists this RNase P RNA (291 nucleotides) under Nitrosomonas sp. RNAcentral describes it as "RNase P RNA component class A". It matches the Rfam family "Bacterial RNase P class A". From Rfam's summary of the family: Ribonuclease P (RNase P) is a ubiquitous endoribonuclease, found in archaea, bacteria and eukarya as well as chloroplasts and mitochondria. Its best characterised activity is the generation of mature 5'-ends of tRNAs by cleaving the 5'-leader elements of precursor-tRNAs. The record is from RNAcentral. Lineage: Bacteria; Pseudomonadati; Pseudomonadota; Betaproteobacteria; Nitrosomonadales; Nitrosomonadaceae.